UACGAAGGGGGCUAGCGUUGUUCGGAAUUACUGGGCGUAAAGCGCGCGCAGGCGGCUAUCCAAGUCAGUGGUGAAAGCCCGGAGCUCAACUCCGGAACUGCCAUUGAAACUGUUUAGCUUGAGGACGAGAGAGGUGAGUGGAACUGCGAGUGUAGAGGUGAAAUUCGUAGAUAUUCGCAAGAACACCAGUGGCGAAGGCGGCUCACUGGCCCGAUACUGACGCUGAGGCACGAAAGCGUGGGGAGCAAACAGG
Molecule: ribosomal RNA, 253 nt
Filed under: uncultured bacterium
Lineage: Bacteria
Description: partial 16S ribosomal RNA
Rfam family: Bacterial small subunit ribosomal RNA
Source: RNAcentral